This 789-nucleotide ribosomal RNA is filed under the name uncultured bacterium. RNAcentral describes it as "bacterial SSU rRNA". It matches the Rfam family "Bacterial small subunit ribosomal RNA", at positions 28 to 866 of the family's 1533-position model. The record is from RNAcentral.
AACGAACGCUGGCGGCAGGCCUCAUACAUGCAAGUCGAGCGGUCCUUCGGGACAGCGGCGAACGGGUUAGUAACGCGUGGGAACGUGCCCUUUAGUACGGAAUAGCCAUUGGAAACGAUGAUUAAUACCGUAUACGCCCCAAGGGGGAAAGAUUUAUCGCUAAAGGAUCGGCCCGCGUUAGAUUAGGUAGUUGGUAGGGUAAUGGCCUACCAAGCCGACGAUCUAUAGCUGGUUUGAGAGGAUGAUCAGCAACACUGGGACUGAGACACGGCCCAGACUUCUACGGAAGGCAGCAGUAGGGAAUCUUGGACAAUGGGCGAAAGCCUGAUCCAGCCAUGCCGCGUGAGUGAUGAAGGCCCUAGGGUUGUAAAGCUCUUUCGCCAGGGAAGAUAAUGACGGUACCUGGUAAAGAAACCCCGGCUAACUCCGUGCCAGCAGCCGCGGUAAUACGGAGGGGGUUAGCGUUGUUCGGAAUUACUGGGCGUAAAGCGCACGUAGGCGGAUUAAUAAGUCAGGGGUGAAAUCCCGAGGCUCAACCUCGGAACUGCCUUUGAUACUGUUAAUCUUGAGUUCGAGAGAGGUGAGUGGAAUUCCGAGUGUAGAGGUGAAAUUCGUAGAUAUUCGGAGGAACACCAGUGGCGAAGGCGGCUCACUGGCUCGAUACUGACGCUGAGGUGCGAAAGCGUGGGGAGCAAACAGGAUCAGAUACCCUGGUAGUCCACGCCGUAAACGAUGAGAGCUAGUCGUUGGAGAGUCCGCUCUUCGGUGACGCAGCUAACGCAUUAAGCU